This 76-nucleotide transfer RNA is filed under the name Gammaproteobacteria bacterium. RNAcentral describes it as "tRNA-Gly". It matches the Rfam family "tRNA". Rfam says of the family: Transfer RNA (tRNA) molecules are approximately 80 nucleotides in length. Their secondary structure includes four short double-helical elements and three loops (D, anti-codon, and T loops). Further hydrogen bonds mediate the characteristic L-shaped molecular structure. tRNAs have two regions of fundamental functional importance: the anti-codon, which is responsible for specific mRNA codon recognition, and the 3' end, to which the tRNAs corresponding amino acid is attached (by aminoacyl-tRNA synthetases). tRNAs cope with the degeneracy of the genetic code in two manners: having more than one tRNA (with a specific anti-codon) for a particular amino acid; and 'wobble' base-pairing, i.e. permitting non-standard base-pairing at the 3rd anti-codon position. The record is from RNAcentral. Lineage: Bacteria; Pseudomonadati; Pseudomonadota; Gammaproteobacteria.
GCGGGACUAGCUCAGUUGGUAGAGCACAACCUUGCCAAGGUUGGGGUCGCGAGUUCGAGUCUCGUGUCCCGCUCCA